GCGUGGGUCGGCCCGCUGCACAGGUUCAGUGGGCUGGGGGACACCGCCGCCUCAUUCCCCGCGGGCGGCGGUCCGGGCCGGGAGGACCGAACGCGCUUCCCGGCCCGGC
Streptomyces sp. NRRL F-6602 is the source of this 109-nucleotide non-coding RNA. NCBI's taxonomy places the organism in Bacteria, Bacillati, Actinomycetota, Actinomycetes, Kitasatosporales, Streptomycetaceae. The record is from Rfam.